Molecule: transfer RNA, 65 nt
Filed under: human gut metagenome
Rfam family: tRNA
About the family: Transfer RNA (tRNA) molecules are approximately 80 nucleotides in length. Their secondary structure includes four short double-helical elements and three loops (D, anti-codon, and T loops). Further hydrogen bonds mediate the characteristic L-shaped molecular structure. tRNAs have two regions of fundamental functional importance: the anti-codon, which is responsible for specific mRNA codon recognition, and the 3' end, to which the tRNAs corresponding amino acid is attached (by aminoacyl-tRNA synthetases). tRNAs cope with the degeneracy of the genetic code in two manners: having more than one tRNA (with a specific anti-codon) for a particular amino acid; and 'wobble' base-pairing, i.e. permitting non-standard base-pairing at the 3rd anti-codon position.
Source: RNAcentral
UCUAUAGCUCAGUAGGUAGAGUGCAGCCUUGGUAAGGCUGAGGUCGCGGGUUCAAUUCCCGCUGG